Molecule: long non-coding RNA, 601 nt
Organism: Lactuca sativa (garden lettuce)
Lineage: Eukaryota; Viridiplantae; Streptophyta; Magnoliopsida; Asterales; Asteraceae
Source: RefSeq, a predicted model, not a curated record
CUUGAAAGGUAGAAAAAAAUAUUUUUUUAUCUUGCAAAAACAAAUGGUUGCUUAAAAUAGAAAAAAUGUUGAAAGUGGUUAACUUAAGGUUUUCAUUCAGCACACCUGAUAUAACAACAAUCCUAGAUAGAUGGGUAAAAUAGUCAUUUACUGUCUUUUAGAUUGUUCAUUUAGCACACAAAAAGAAACAACAAUUUUCAUCUAACAAAUCAAUUGUCUUGUGUUUGUAAAUUUUUGUCUUUUUCGCAGCAGAGUAUGAAACCCCAUAGAAUUCUCUAAAUCAGGUUGGAACAUGCCAAGAGAUGAACUUAAAUAAAUGGGCAACUUGAAAGAAUCAAGUUAAAAAAAAGGGUCCAUCUGUUCAUGAAGAUUCUCAAAGCACUAUAAUUUGAUGGCCGUGAAGACACUUGAGAAUGUUUAUUUUUAUUUUGAUGUCUUUUAAUUUUAAAAUAUUUUUUUUGUAAAAAUUCAAUAUCUAUUUGUAAGAAAUAGUGACAUACUUUCGAUGGUAUGUUAUUUAUAGCAUUCUACUUCUAUCAUUAGCUAUGAAAAUUCUAUCCAAUUAUAUCUAUGAAAAAUGUAUAGCAACUCAGUUAUAGCG